CUUGUUCUUUGUUGCCCUUGGGCUACUGUUUUGAUCAUUGACUGAAUGGAUUUAUUCUUGUCAGCAGAAUGAAUUUUUCACUCUUGUCGUGCUGAACCUGACACGGAGCUGGCGCUGCGGAGCGGGGUGGGCAGCCGGACACUGUGCAUGGAGCAUCUUGAGCAGUUGGUAACAUUUGGCAGCUUAACAUAGAAAAAAUGACUGCUAGGGAAAUCUCAACUGCCGCUAAUUAGCAGCAAUGAACUGUGGGUAAGGACAGUCCAUUUUAAUGUGAGAAGAAUUUUACAAUAACCACCACACUGAAAGAAAUAGAACGAAAUGCUCCCUAGCUGACCCUUGUGGCAAUCUAAGCUGCAUAUUGCAAUAAUCCUGUAAAUUACUAUGCUUUUUUAUACAGUAACUUGGAGUUAAUUAGUAAUUUA
RNAcentral lists this long non-coding RNA (422 nucleotides) under Anser brachyrhynchus (Pink-footed goose). Its description in RNAcentral is "lncRNA (ENSABRG00000018167.1)". Lineage: Eukaryota; Metazoa; Chordata; Aves; Anseriformes; Anatidae. The record is from RNAcentral.